UAAAACUAUUCGAAUAGUCGUGCCCGCGGUUAUGGGCGAGUUGAGCAAUGUUUUUCGUGAUUAGUCUCACACCUCUCACAAUAAUUAUAGAUGUUAUACCCGUGCCCGCGGUUAUGGGCGAGUUGAGCAAUGUUUUUCGUGAUUAGUUUCACACCUCUCACAAUAAUUAUAGAUGUUAUACCUGGUAAUAAUUUGCUUAGCUCCUGGUUUGGAGUUAGAUCUGUUCAGCCGGGUAUGGUUGUUCAGAAUGGUUGGGCCUGUGCAGCAUGGGUGUGCUGUUCAGUGUUGAUUAAAAUUUCUGAUUAAUUACUCCACUGUUUUACUUCUCUUAAAUGUUUUGCUAAAUGCUGCUUUUGCAAAUGAGCC
RNAcentral lists this long non-coding RNA (366 nucleotides) under Oryza sativa (Asian cultivated rice). RNAcentral's name for it is "long non-coding RNA (OSAT_LNC001268)". The record is from RNAcentral. Lineage: Eukaryota; Viridiplantae; Streptophyta; Magnoliopsida; Poales; Poaceae.